GUGGCGGCCUGGCGAGGGCAGGGAAGCUGGGGGGGAAGCUGCCCGCCCGCCCUGCACCCCUCCUCCUCGGGAACGCGCCCGCCUGGCCGUGCUCCCGAGUCCCAGCCUUUCCGACUCACCCCGCGACCUGGGCACAUAGGAACGGGAGUGCAGGAAGAGAAUGAUGGCGGUGAUGACCGGCACAGAGCUGGUGGAUGCCGGACUGCAAGUGAGAGGAGAACAUUCUGUCGCUAGCCCUUGAUAGAAUUCAUAAUUCUGAAACUGUCUGGCAAAAGUUGGAGAGCAAACCGAAGGGAAUCCCUUCUGGCUUGAAUCUACUCAUGACGAGAAUAUUUCCCGCAAGGCCAGGCCUACAUAAAUAGGAUGAUGAGAUGGGACAGAAGUAGCUCCACCGUGGCGAUUGGUGACAACUAAGCUGGCUAUGCCGUGAUGCCCGUGGAUGGCCAUCCUUCAGGUGUGAAGUGGAAUCAUAAACUCUUCAAGUUUAGAAGGGACCUCUGAGGCCAUUUCUUAUUCGGUCUCCUUUCUGAUUCC
This is a long non-coding RNA of Neofelis nebulosa (Clouded leopard), 534 nucleotides long. RefSeq lists it as uncharacterized. NCBI's taxonomy places the organism in Eukaryota, Metazoa, Chordata, Mammalia, Carnivora, Felidae. The transcript has 3 exons. The record is from RefSeq and is a predicted model, not a curated record.